Molecule: ribosomal RNA, 439 nt
Filed under: uncultured bacterium
Lineage: Bacteria
Description: partial 16S ribosomal RNA
Rfam family: Bacterial small subunit ribosomal RNA
Source: RNAcentral
CCUACGGGAGGCAGCAGUGGGGAAUAUUGCACAAUGGGGGAAACCCUGAUGCAGCGACGCCGCGUGAGGGAAGAAGUAAUUCGUUAUGUAAAGCUCUAUCAGCAGGGAAGAAAAUGACGGUACCUGAGUAAGAAGCCCCGGCUAACUUCGUGCCAGCAGCCGCGGUAAUACGAAGGGGGCAAGCGUUGUUCGGAAUUACUGGAGUAAAGGGAGGGUAGGCGGUUUAGUUAGAUAGUCGUGAAAUCCCAGAGCUUAACCUUGGAAUUGCCAUUAUAACUAUUAGACUAGAAUUACAGAGAGGAUAGUGGAAUACGCAGUGUAGAGGUGAAAUUCGUAGAUAUUGGGUAGAACACCAGUGGCGAAGGCGACUAUCUGGCUGUACAUUGACGCUGAGGCUCGAAAGCAUGGGGAUCAAACAGGAUUAGAUACCCUUGUAGUC